CACUCGUCAAGCCAGUCCAGAUCGAAAUGUUUCUCUGCUGCCUGAACAAGAAGGUCCGGCAAUGCCUUCUCUGCAUCUCUCCACAGCCCAGACAUCUCUUCAUCGCAUACUACACGACGCAGAGAAUGUAAUGUUGUAGCAGAUUUUGGUAGGUUCCUGAUCUGUGAACACUCCCUCAUGUCAAUCUUUUCCAAAUUUGCUAACUUACCAAUGCCUAUGGGAAGGCACCUCAAAUUAACACAUUGGGAAAUGUCUAGGUAUUUCAAACAAAGUAGCUCACAAAUGCCAGCAGGAAGCGUCUGCAGUGCCGGACAUGCAUAUAACCUUAGGAUUUGCAGAGAUUUCAGCUUAUCCAGAUCAGUUGGCAGCUGGUAUAGGCUGUGGCAGUUGGU
This 392-nucleotide long non-coding RNA is filed under the name Prunus persica (peach). RNAcentral's name for it is "long non-coding RNA (PPER_LNC001421)". The record is from RNAcentral. Lineage: Eukaryota; Viridiplantae; Streptophyta; Magnoliopsida; Rosales; Rosaceae.